Rosa rugosa (rugosa rose) is the source of this 570-nucleotide long non-coding RNA. RefSeq lists it as uncharacterized. The transcript has 5 exons. The record is from RefSeq and is a predicted model, not a curated record. Lineage: Eukaryota; Viridiplantae; Streptophyta; Magnoliopsida; Rosales; Rosaceae.
CAGCUCAAAGAGAGAAGAUAAGUGAAGCUAAUCAAGGCUCCAAACAAGGACGGCAGCUGCAGUGUCAGAAAAUGCCAUAGUUCUGAGUUUUAAAUCGAGGGUUUAAAGCAGAACAGCAGCUAUAGUGUCAAAGCUCCAGAGUUUAAACUCAAGAGUCAUUACUGGAUACUUACUAGCAGGAUCUGCCAUUGGACCCAGAGGCUUGAAUUUUGGCCUUGGAUUACAAGUUGUGAAAUAUUUGGCUGCCAAAUAUGAAGAGCUAGGGUGUGAAGUGAAAUGGAUGGGCAAGCCUGAUAAGGUGAUCUAGUCACAUUGGUUUGGUUACCGCUGUUAACUUCACUUCAUGUGAACCUUUAGCUUAAUACAUAUUUCUCUUGCACUUGACUACCAAGAUGAAUUUUGAGCAAGGCUACUUUUUGCUUUGAAGCAAAGUUUGGUGUAGAAAUUUUGUAGAUUGUUGCUCAUAUGUUUCUAGGCUAUCCUUUGUAGGUUUUGGGGUUUUCUUUUGUGACAUAUGUUCAAUCAUGAAUUUGGAAAGAAAAUUAAUGGAAAGCCCCAAUUUUUGGAUGA